Molecule: long non-coding RNA, 538 nt
Filed under: Theobroma cacao (cacao)
Lineage: Eukaryota; Viridiplantae; Streptophyta; Magnoliopsida; Malvales; Malvaceae
Description: long non-coding RNA (TCAC_LNC004266)
Source: RNAcentral
UCGAAUUAAAUUUUAUACGACACAAUUUGUAACUUUUUUAAACAAUUAAAAUUUUAAAUACAAAUAACAUGAUUACAUUAAAAUGCAUACAAUUACAAAUAAAAUAUAAUCUUAUUAUUUAAAUUUAAAAAUAAUAAUUAUAAAAAUAACUACUUUUAUACAAAGACGACUAGCAGGCUAUGUGAAGAUUGAAUAGUAUAGAGACAAAUAAGUUAUCCCAGAUAAAAGGUAUGCACUGGCCAAACACGACCCUCUUGGCCCUAAAGGUGGCAUGGGCCUUUCAUUUAUCAAGAUAACCUAAGUGGCUUUAAACAAUUCAUCUUCAUUGCUCAACCUUGUCAAUUCUAGUUCAUCAUCGUCUUUGAGAACAUAAUUCUUUCCGAUAUACAAGUUCCAUCAAGGAUGGCAAGUGUAGAGCAUACUCAAGGAUCUAAACUCACGAGAGAAUUGUGCAUAUUUCCAUGUGAUAACCCUUAAGAAAGAAAGAGAAAGACUUAGAAACUCAUGUUGGAAGACACACACGAUUUUUAUUUCUAAG